ACGGAAGGCAGCAGUGGGGAAUAUUGCACAAUGGGGGAAACCCUGAUGCAGCGACGCCGCGUGAAGGAAGAAGUAUCUCGGUAUGUAAACUUCUAUCAGCAGGGAAGAAAAUGACGGUACUUGACUAAGAAGCUCCGGCUAAAUACGUGCCAGCAGCCGCGGUAAUACGUAUGGAGCAAGCGUUAUCCGGAUUUACUGGGUGUAAAGGGAGCGUAGACGGCUUUGCAAGUCUGAAGUGAAAGCCCGGGGCUCAACCCCGGAACUGCUUUGGAAACUGUAGAGCUAGAGUACAGGAGAGGUAAGCGGAAUUCCUAGUGUAGCGGUGAAAUGCGUAGAUAUUAGGAGGAACACCAGUGGCGAAGGCGGCUUACUGGACUGUAACUGACGUUGAGGCUCGAAAGCGUGGGGAGCAAACAGGAUUAGAUACCCUGGUA
RNAcentral lists this ribosomal RNA (434 nucleotides) under uncultured Blautia sp. RNAcentral describes it as "partial 16S ribosomal RNA". It matches the Rfam family "Bacterial small subunit ribosomal RNA", at positions 341 to 792 of the family's 1533-position model. Lineage: Bacteria; Bacillati; Bacillota; Clostridia; Lachnospirales; Lachnospiraceae. The record is from RNAcentral.